CCCUUAGAUGUUCUGGGCCGCACGCGCGCUACACUGAUGCAUUCAACGAGCCUAUCCUUGACCGACAGGUCCGGGUAAUCUUUGAAUCUGCAUCGUGACGGGGAUAGAUUAUUGCAAUUAUUAAUCUUCAACGAGGAAUGCCUAGUAGGCGCAAGUCAUCAGCUCGCGCUGAUUACGUCCCUGCCCUUUGUACACACCGCCCGUCGCUACUACCGAUUGGGUGGUUUAGCGAGAGCCUUGGAUUGGAGCCCAGGUGGUCGGCAACGGCCGCUCGGGAUUCCGAGAAAUUGUUCCAGCUGACUCAUCUAGAGGAAGUAAAAGUCGUAACA
RNAcentral lists this ribosomal RNA (329 nucleotides) under uncultured eukaryote. RNAcentral describes it as "partial 18S ribosomal RNA". It matches the Rfam family "Eukaryotic small subunit ribosomal RNA", at positions 1470 to 1796 of the family's 1831-position model. The record is from RNAcentral.